RNAcentral lists this ribosomal RNA (454 nucleotides) under uncultured bacterium. Its description in RNAcentral is "bacterial SSU rRNA". It matches the Rfam family "Bacterial small subunit ribosomal RNA", at positions 354 to 796 of the family's 1533-position model. The record is from RNAcentral.
GUGAGGAAUUUUGCGCAAUGGGCGAAAGCCUGACGCAGCGACGCCGCGUGGGCGAUGAAGCUCUUCGGAGUGUAAAGCCCUGUCAGGUGGGACGAAUGUGGCGAAGGUGAAUAACCUGGGUCGCCGCUGACGGUACCACCAGAGGAAGCCCCGGCUAACUCUGUGCCAGCAGCCGCGGUAAUACAGAGGGGGCUAGCGUUGUUCGGAAUCACUGGGUGUAAAGGGUGCGUAGGCGGUUGGUUAAGUCUGAUGUGAAAUCCCUCGGCUCAACUGGGGAACUGCAUUGGAAACUAGCUAGCUAGAGUACCGGAGAGGGAAUCGGAAUUCCUGGUGUAGCGGUGAAAUGCGUAGAUACCAGGAGGAACACCGGUGGCGAAGGCGGAUUCCUGGCCGAGUACUGACGCUGAGGCACGAAAGCGUGGGGAGCGAACGGGAUUAGAAACCCUGGUAGUCC